This 400-nucleotide ribosomal RNA is filed under the name uncultured bacterium. Its description in RNAcentral is "bacterial SSU rRNA". It matches the Rfam family "Bacterial small subunit ribosomal RNA", at positions 355 to 772 of the family's 1533-position model. The record is from RNAcentral.
UAGGGAAUUUUGCGCAAUGGGCGAAAGCCUGACGCAGCAACACCGCGUGUAGGAUGAAGGAUUUCGGUUCGUAAACUACUGUCAGCAGGGAAUAAAUUGACUGUACCUGCAGAGGAAGCAUCGGCUAACUACGUGCCAGCAGCCGCGGUAAGACGUAGGAUGCAAGCGUUGUCCGGAAUUAUUGGGCGUAAAGAGUUCGUAGGCGGUUACUUAAGUCUGGUGUUAAAUACUGGUGCUCAACGCCAGCAUGGCAUUGGAAACUGGGUAGCUAGAGUGUGUCAGAGGUUACGGGAAUUCCUGGUGUAGCGGUGAAAUGCGUAGAUAUCAGGAGGAACACCGGUGGCGAAAGCGCGUAACUGGGGCAUAACUGACGCUGAGGAACGAAAGCCAGGGGAGCGAA